UACGUAGGGAGCAAGCGUUGUCCGGAAUCAUUGGGCGUAAAGCGCGCGUAGGUGGCUUCGUAAGUCCGUUGUGAAAGUCAAAGGCUCAACCUUUGAAAGCCGAUGGAUACUGCGGAGCUAGAGUACGGAAGAGGCGAGUGGAAUUCCUGGUGUAGCGGUGGAAUGCGCAGAUAUCAGGAGGAACACCGGUGGCGAAGGCGGGUCUCUGGGCAGUAACUGACGCUGAGGAGCGAAAGCGUGGGGAGCGAACAGG
Molecule: ribosomal RNA, 253 nt
Filed under: uncultured bacterium
Lineage: Bacteria
Description: partial 16S ribosomal RNA
Rfam family: Bacterial small subunit ribosomal RNA
Source: RNAcentral